UAACGCGAAGAACCUUACCAGGUCUUGACAUCCAAUGAACUUUCCAGAGAUGGAUUGGUGCCUUCGGGAGCAUUGAGACAGGUGCUGCAUGGCUGUCGUCAGCUCGUGUUGUGAAAUGUUGGGUUAAGUCCCGCAACGAGCGCAACCCUUAUCCUUUGUUGCCAGCGAGUAAUGUCGGGAACUCAAAGGAGACUGCCGGUGAUAAACCGGAGGAAGGUGGGGAUGACGUCAAGUCAUCAUGGCCCUUACGAGUAGGGCUACACACGUGCUACAAUGGCGCAUACAAAGAGAAGCGACCUCGCGAGAGCAAGCGGACCUCACAAAGUGCGUCGUAGUCCGGAUCGGAGUCUGCAACUCGACUCCGUGAAGUCGGAAUCGCUAGUAAUCGUGGAUCAGAAUGCCACGGUGAAUACGUUCCCGGGUCUUGUACACACCGA
RNAcentral lists this ribosomal RNA (437 nucleotides) under uncultured bacterium. Its description in RNAcentral is "bacterial SSU rRNA". It matches the Rfam family "Bacterial small subunit ribosomal RNA", at positions 957 to 1393 of the family's 1533-position model. The record is from RNAcentral.